GAACUCUAGUGGCCACGUCUUAGAACAUAUACUAGUAUAUGUUCUAAGGGCCACGUACACCAUACUGGAUACGUAAUUUUCGGUGUUAUGUGAUGACAGGCCUCUUGCCUCUUGACGACGUAUGGGUCCUCGCUUGCGGACAUGAAUUUAAUCCAAGAUUUAUAAAGAGAUAUUUUGCGACGCAUUCACAAAUCAAGAGAAUUUUAGUCUACGUAAGGAUUGGUUAAGCGAAGCACUGUUUCUCAAUUCAGAUCAAACAACUGCGUCGUGUUACAUGCAAAGAUUUAAAGUCUUCAUGUAUACAAUUAAUGAGGAACAUAUUUUCGAACGUUGUGGCAGUUCAGUACAGCUGGUAUGGAGCAAAGAAAAAAGGAAAUUUUUUACAACUACAAAUUUGUAAAGUAAUUAUGUGUGUAAUCAGAAAACUACAUCCAAAUACGACAGAUGAAAACAUAUCGGCUCCAAUAAAAAUAUGGCUGGUGCAUGCCAAAGAACGUAUGGGGAGAGAAAAGGAGCAAAAUAGCACAGCAGAGCUGGAAUGAAUGUUGUGUGAAAAUAUAUAUUUUGUUUUUUUGUUCUUGUUAUUACGUUAUGUUAUUGUUAUUAUGUUGUUUUUCAAACGGUUUAUGUAAAGAACUAUAUAGACUGGUCUACAGUUACUGUAGACCUAUUACAACAUGUUAGAGUAUUAUUACGUGCAUGUACGUAUAACAUAUAUAUUUAAUGUUCAUCUAAGAAAUUUAUAUUUUUUAUAUAUUUUAUGCCUUUUUUCAUGUAAAACACAUACUUGUACGCAUUUUAAUAUAUUUUAUGUUGUGUCAGGCAUCUUUUUGCAAUAACAAAACUAUAAUUCUAGAAGUUUAUAAGAAAGUAAUAAUAAAAAUAUUUAUUGUAAACAUAAAUAAAAA
This is a long non-coding RNA of Ooceraea biroi (clonal raider ant), 908 nucleotides long. RefSeq lists it as uncharacterized. The record is from RefSeq and is a predicted model, not a curated record. NCBI's taxonomy places the organism in Eukaryota, Metazoa, Arthropoda, Insecta, Hymenoptera, Formicidae.